RNAcentral lists this ribosomal RNA (255 nucleotides) under uncultured bacterium. RNAcentral describes it as "partial 16S ribosomal RNA". It matches the Rfam family "Bacterial small subunit ribosomal RNA", at positions 524 to 776 of the family's 1533-position model. The record is from RNAcentral.
UACGUAGGGUCCGAGCGUUGUCCGGAAUUACUGGGCGUAAAGAGCUCGUAGGCGGUCUGUCGCGUCUGCUGUGAAAACUCAGGGCUUAACCCUGAGCUUGCAGUGGGUACGGGCAGACUAGAGUGCGGUAGGGGAGACUGGAAUUCCUGGUGUAGCGGUGAAAUGCGCAGAUAUCAGGAGGAACACCGGUGGCGAAGGCGGCGCUCUGGACCGAGACUGGACGGCUGAGGCGCGAAAGCGUGGGGAGCAAACAGG